UACGUAGGGGGCAAGCGUUGUCCGGAUUUACGGGGCGUAAAGAGCGUGUAGGCGGCCAGGCAGGUCCGUUGUGAAAACUGGAGGCUUAACCUCCAGACGUCGACGGAAACCGCGUGGCUAGAGUCCGGAAGAGGAGAGUGGAAUUCCUGGUGUAGCGGUGAAAUGCGCAGAUAUCAGGAAGAACACCAAUGGCGAAGGCAGCUCUCUGGGACGGUACUGACGCUGAGACGCGAAAGCGUGGGGAGCGAACAGG
This 253-nucleotide ribosomal RNA is filed under the name uncultured bacterium. RNAcentral describes it as "partial 16S ribosomal RNA". It matches the Rfam family "Bacterial small subunit ribosomal RNA", at positions 524 to 776 of the family's 1533-position model. The record is from RNAcentral.